GGAAAGUACUUCCGAUGUGCUAGUUUUAAAGUAUGCUACAGUAAUGGCCACAUAUAACUUUUCAAAUGACAAGCAGCUUGGAGAUGAUGGCUAUGGCACAGUAUACAAGGGAAAAUUAAGGAAGGGACAGGAAAUAGCAGU
Molecule: long non-coding RNA, 141 nt
Organism: Neltuma alba
Lineage: Eukaryota; Viridiplantae; Streptophyta; Magnoliopsida; Fabales; Fabaceae
Exons: 2
Source: RefSeq, a predicted model, not a curated record